This 407-nucleotide ribosomal RNA is filed under the name Verrucomicrobiota bacterium. RNAcentral's name for it is "Verrucomicrobia bacterium partial 16S ribosomal RNA". It matches the Rfam family "Bacterial small subunit ribosomal RNA", at positions 355 to 776 of the family's 1533-position model. Lineage: Bacteria; Pseudomonadati; Verrucomicrobiota. The record is from RNAcentral.
UGGGGAAUAUUGGACAAUGGAGGAAACUCUGAUCCAGCAAUUCUGUGUGUGUGAAGAAGGUUUUAGGACUGUAAAACACUUUUAGUAGGGAAGAAAAAAAUGACGGUACCUACAGAAGAAGCAACGGCUAAAUACGUGCCAGCAGCCGCGGUAAUACGUAUGUUGCGAGCGUUAUCCGGAAUUAUUGGGCUUAAAGGGCAUCUAGGCGGUAAGACAAGUUGAAGGUGAAAACCUGUGGCUCAACCAUAGGCUUGCCUACAAAACUGUUGGACUAGAGUACUGGAAAGGUGGGUGGAGCUACACGAGUAUAGGUGAAAGUCGUAGAUAUGUGUAGGAAUGCCGAUGAUGAAGAUAACUCACUGGACAGAAACUGACGCUGUAAUGCGCAAGCUAGGGGAGCAAACAGG